RNAcentral lists this ribosomal RNA (429 nucleotides) under Triticum aestivum (bread wheat). RNAcentral's name for it is "partial small subunit ribosomal RNA". Lineage: Eukaryota; Viridiplantae; Streptophyta; Magnoliopsida; Poales; Poaceae. The record is from RNAcentral.
AUGGCAGCCGCAGCACUGAGGGCGCAGCUGAACGCCCAUAUCGCCGGCAUGUACACCAAUGGUGUGGUGGACGAGGAUACAUUCGAGGAGCUGCGGGACGAGGGCACCGCCGCCGAGGUCUCCCGCCUCUUCAUCUACGACGCCUCCGAGAUCAUCGACGACAUCGACCUCCUGAUGGAGGAGCCUGAAGUGGACUUUGACGAGGUGGAAGCCCUGACGCAGCAGCUCAUGCGGUGCACCUCCAGUGUUGGUGCACAGCAAGUGAACCUCGCCUGCAUGCACUUCGGCAAUUUCUAUGCCAUACAAUACAAACAAGGGUGUCUCGUGUCAUUGACUCUUGUUAGGAAUGAGUUCUAUAUUGUGCGACAUGAGUUGGAGAUCGUGAUGCAGCUCGAAGAGCAGAUCGCGGCAUGUGGUCCUGACUCCUAA